CAAUAGCGUAUAUUAAAGUUGUUGCAGUUAAAAAGCUCGUAGUUGGAUUUCUGAUCGAGACAUCAGGUCGGGUCCGAGAGGAUCAUGUACUUUGAUUUUGUUUUGAUCAUCCUUGGGGAGAGCAUUUCUGGCAUUCAGUUGUCGGGAUUGGGAUCCUCAUCGUUUACUGUGAAAAAAUUAGAGUGUUCAAAGCAGGCCUCGGCCUCUGAAUACAUUAGCAUGGAAUAAUAAGAUAGGACUUUGGUGGUCUAUUUUGUUGGUUUGCACGCCAAAGUAAUGAUUAAUAGGGAUAGUUGGGGGUAUUCGUAUUCAAUUGUCAGAGGUGAAAUUCUUGGAUUUAUGGAAAACGAACUACUGCGAAAGCAUUUACCAAGGAUGUUUUCAUUAA
RNAcentral lists this ribosomal RNA (388 nucleotides) under uncultured eukaryote. RNAcentral's name for it is "partial 18S ribosomal RNA". It matches the Rfam family "Eukaryotic small subunit ribosomal RNA", at positions 592 to 976 of the family's 1831-position model. The record is from RNAcentral.